UUCAGAUACAAUCAAUAAAUUGUGAUCAUUAGGAAAAAAAUAAAUUUUGAAUUGAUUUUUUAGUCCACUUUUGAUUUUACCAUUCCAGAAUUAGACUUACAUAUAUAUACCUACAAAUGUCCACCAAUGAAGAAAUGGAGAAUCGAGGAGAGAAAAUAUUUCAUUUCAAGUAACUUAACACAUUUUCGGCGAAAUUAAUAGCACUAAAGAUGAGUUAUUAAACUAAAAUAUGACUCAAAAGCUCCUAGUUUUAGACCAAGGCAUUAAAGCUCUGAUUUGCUACCAUGCGGCACGUUAGAAUAAAAAUACUAUUUGCAAAAAAAUCUGCAGAUGCCCCCACCCUCAACACAUAAGCCUUGGCUUCAACUAUAAUGUUAAAUGUGAAGCAACUUUGAAAUGGAAAAAUGGCAGUACCGAGCAUAUCAAAAAACUAACAUUACAUUAAUUUCGAGAAAGGUU
This is a long non-coding RNA of Ceratitis capitata (Mediterranean fruit fly), 459 nucleotides long. RefSeq lists it as uncharacterized. Lineage: Eukaryota; Metazoa; Arthropoda; Insecta; Diptera; Tephritidae. The record is from RefSeq and is a predicted model, not a curated record. The transcript is spliced from 2 exons.